Molecule: long non-coding RNA, 1209 nt
Organism: Herpailurus yagouaroundi (jaguarundi)
Lineage: Eukaryota; Metazoa; Chordata; Mammalia; Carnivora; Felidae
Exons: 3
Source: RefSeq, a predicted model, not a curated record
AGCUCCUCUCAGGACCCAACCAAAGCAAAUCAACAUCCUCUGCAGCUCAAGACUUGACAACUAAACACCAGGAAGAACUUCCAGAUGUCAGGAUUCGAGGCAAAGGAUGAGGACUACUGGUUUGCCUGUUUGUCCUUGGAGGCUGGAGGCCAGGAUCUGGUUAUUUCUUGGAUUGGAUUCCUAAAAGUAGAUUAACAAGAUCAAGGGAUGACACAGAGUAAAUCAGCUCCGGGCCCUGCCCAUGAGCAGCAGGCAGGCACUGAUACCACCAGCUCCAGUGUGGAGUGAACAGUGCCACGGAAGAAGGUGACAAAGGGAGCUCAGAGGAGAGAGAAGAAUUGGGGCUUCCUGGAGGAAUCUGGGAGGCAGAGGAGGGGGCCCUGGAAGGACCUUCCUGGGUAACAAGGAAGGGGUGUUGGGACAGCAAUCCAGGCAGAGGGAACAGCAUAGCCAAAGGCCGGGAGGUGGGAGAGAGGCUGGCACAAUCGGGAACCGGGGUCUAGUUCCCAGAACGCUGGGUGGCUGUGCAGGCGGAAAGGGAGGGAAACCUGGGAGGUCCACAGUGGCCAGAUGGUAACAGGCAGGGCAUGCAGAGUGCUUGAUCUUAUCCCGAGAGCACUGGGGAACCAUUGAGGGUUUAAACAAAUGAGGAAUCUGGUUUGCUUUGCUCGUUAGAAUGCUCACUUGGGGAAAGCAUGGACAGGGGAUGAGGGGCAGAGCUGGCAGCUCUGUGGUCCCGGACAAGGGCAGUGGCUUCUAGCCAUGUUCAGAGGGGAGACUGGAGGCGACCUCACGGGGGCGGCUGUAGGUGGGACGGGUGGUUGCUGGUGACCCAAGGUCAGGACCCAGGAUGAGUCCAGGCACAGUCUCCUCCUCCCACCCUGAACCCCCAGGGGCUCCCAGGCCUCCGGGAGCACGCCUCAGUUUGCUGUAAUGGUGCUCUCUGCCUGGCCUUACCCACCUCUAUGGCCUCAGCCCUCCUACCCCCCUACGUGCGCCUGUGCUCUAGCCUAACUGGUGUCUCCGUUGGUCCCGAGCUCACAUGAACCACUCAAACAUCCAAGCCUUUAGACGGUUAAUUACUGUCCCCCAGUCCUCCCACCUCUUCAGUGAAGGCGGCCCCGCCUGCCUCAGCUCCCCUGUCCCCACUAUCCACCUUUCCUCCCCUUCCUCUAUAUCCUUCGUUUAAAGGCCUGGACGGACCAUGUC